UAGGGAAUCUUCCACAAUGGACGAAAGUCUGAUGGAGCAACGCCGCGUGAGUGAAGAAGGGUUUCGGCUCGUAAAACUCUGUUGUUAAAGAAGAACAUAUCUGAGAGUAACUGUUCAGGUGUUGACGGUAUUUAACCAGAAAGCCACGGCUAACUACGUGCCGG
RNAcentral lists this ribosomal RNA (164 nucleotides) under uncultured bacterium. RNAcentral describes it as "partial 16S rRNA". It matches the Rfam family "Bacterial small subunit ribosomal RNA", at positions 355 to 511 of the family's 1533-position model. The record is from RNAcentral.